This is a non-coding RNA of Pangasius djambal, 70 nucleotides long. NCBI's taxonomy places the organism in Eukaryota, Metazoa, Chordata, Actinopteri, Siluriformes, Pangasiidae. The record is from the annotation of a GenBank genome assembly.
CAGUCGUGGCUUAAUGGUUAGAGAGUCGGACGUGUAACCCGAAGGUCGUGGGUUUGAGUCUCAGGAUUGG